This 382-nucleotide unclassified non-coding RNA is filed under the name uncultured bacterium. Its description in RNAcentral is "contains 16S-23S intergenic spacer region". The record is from RNAcentral.
UCCGGUUUGUCACCGGCAGUCUUGCAUGAGUCCCCGGCCGAACCGCUGGCAACAUGCAACGGGGGUUGCGCUCGUUGCGGGACUUAACCCAACACCUCACGGCACGAGCUGACGACAGCCAUGCAGCACCUGUUCACGUUGUACCCUUGCGGGCCUCAUCGACGUUUCUGCCGACUAAUCCGUGUAUGUCAAACCCAGGUAAGGUUCUGCGCGUUGCUUCGAAUUGAGCCACAUGCUCCACCGCUUGUGUGAGCCCCCGUCAAUUCCUUUGAGUUUUAAUCUUGCGACCGUACUCCCCAGGCGGGAUGCUUAAUGCGUUAGCUGCGCCACUGACCGGUAAACCGGCCAACGGCUAGCAUCCAUCGUUUACGGCGUGGACUAC